This 287-nucleotide unclassified non-coding RNA is filed under the name uncultured fungus. RNAcentral describes it as "sequence contains ITS1, 5.8S rRNA gene". The stretch from base 239 to 287 matches the Rfam family "5.8S ribosomal RNA", at positions 1 to 49 of the family's 154-position model. The record is from RNAcentral. Lineage: Eukaryota; Fungi.
UUUCCGUAGGUGAACCUGCGGAAGGAUCAUUAACGAGUUAGGGUCCUCCGGGGCCCGACCUCCCACCCUUUGUUGUCGCGAAUUCGUUGCCUCGGCGGGACGGCCGCCCCGGGUCCAAGCGACCCGGGCUGGCCACCGGGGACCCCUCGCGGGGAUCCCGGCCAGCGCCCGCCGCGGGACCACACACAACUCUUGUCUUUGACCGUACAGUCCGAGCAAAUUUGAAUUAAUAAAUCAAAACUUUCAACAACGGAUCUCUUGGUUCUGGCAUCGAUGAAGAACGCAGC